RNAcentral lists this ribosomal RNA (253 nucleotides) under uncultured bacterium. RNAcentral's name for it is "partial 16S ribosomal RNA". It matches the Rfam family "Bacterial small subunit ribosomal RNA", at positions 524 to 776 of the family's 1533-position model. The record is from RNAcentral.
UACGUAGGGCGCAAGCGUUGUCCGGAAUUAUUGGGCGUAAAGAGCUCGUAGGCGGCUUGUCACGUCGGGUGUGAAAGCCCGGGGCUUAACCCCGGGUCUGCAUUCGAUACGGGCUAGCUAGAGUGUGGUAGGGGAGAUCGGAAUUCCUGGUGUAGCGGUGAAAUGCGCAGAUAUCAGGAGGAACACCAGCGGCGAAGGCGCCGCGCUGGGCCGUAACUGACGCUGAGGAGCGAAAGCAUGGGGAGCAAACAGG